UACGGAGGGUGCGAGCGUUGUCCGGAAUCACUGGGCGUAAAGGGCGCGUAGGCGGCCUGAUAAGUAGGGGGUGAAAUCCUGCGGCUUAACCGCAGGGCUACCUUCUAAACUGUCAGGCUUGAGCACAGUAGAGGCAGGUGGAAUUCCCGGUGUAGCGGUGGAAUGCGUAGAGAUCGGGAAGAACAUCAGUGGCGAAGGCGGCCUGCUGGGCUGUUGCUGACGCUGAGGCGCGACAGCGUGGGGAGCAAACAGG
This 253-nucleotide ribosomal RNA is filed under the name uncultured bacterium. RNAcentral describes it as "partial 16S ribosomal RNA". It matches the Rfam family "Bacterial small subunit ribosomal RNA", at positions 524 to 776 of the family's 1533-position model. The record is from RNAcentral.